This 99-nucleotide small nucleolar RNA is filed under the name Setaria italica (foxtail millet). Its description in RNAcentral is "Small nucleolar RNA Z247". It matches the Rfam family "Small nucleolar RNA Z247". Rfam says of the family: Z247 is a member of the C/D class of snoRNA which contain the C (UGAUGA) and D (CUGA) box motifs. RNAcentral also lists the same sequence under 1 other name. The record is from Rfam by way of RNAcentral. Lineage: Eukaryota; Viridiplantae; Streptophyta; Magnoliopsida; Poales; Poaceae.
CCUGUUGGAGAUGAUGAGGUUGUUGCUCAUAUCCUCAAUAGUCUAGAUUUUGAUUAUCAUCCUCUUGUAUCCUCGAUGCUUGGCCGUGUAGAUCCGAUC